AACGCGAAGAACCUUACCUGGUCUUGACAUCCUAGGAACCCUUCAGAGAUGAGGGGGUGCCUUCGGGAACCUGGAGACAGGUGCUGCAUGGCUGUCGUCAGCUCGUGCCGUGAGGUGUUGGGUUAAGUCCCGCAACGAGCGCAACCCUUGCCGUGUGUUGGUCGCAAGAUCUCUCACGCGGGACCGCCGGUGACAAGCCGGAGGAAGGUGGGGAUGACGUCAAGUCAGCAUGGCCCUUACGUCCCGGGCUACACACGUGCUACAAUGGGAGGGACAACGAGUCGCGAACCCGCGAGGGCAAGCUAAUCUCACAAACCCUCUCUCAGUUCGGAUUGAAGGCUGCAACUCGCCUUCAUGAAGUCGGAAUCGCUAGUAACCGUAGAUCAGCUACGCUGCGGUGAAUACGUUCCCGGGCCUUGUACACACCGCGCAUA
RNAcentral lists this ribosomal RNA (434 nucleotides) under uncultured bacterium. RNAcentral describes it as "bacterial SSU rRNA". It matches the Rfam family "Bacterial small subunit ribosomal RNA", at positions 958 to 1398 of the family's 1533-position model. The record is from RNAcentral.